GGCGAGGUAGCUCAGUGGUUUAGAGCAGCGGAAUCAUAAUCCGUGUGUCGGGAGUUCAAAUCUCCCCCUCGCUACCA
This 77-nucleotide transfer RNA is filed under the name Alphaproteobacteria bacterium MarineAlpha6_Bin3. RNAcentral describes it as "tRNA-Met". It matches the Rfam family "tRNA". Rfam says of the family: Transfer RNA (tRNA) molecules are approximately 80 nucleotides in length. Their secondary structure includes four short double-helical elements and three loops (D, anti-codon, and T loops). Further hydrogen bonds mediate the characteristic L-shaped molecular structure. tRNAs have two regions of fundamental functional importance: the anti-codon, which is responsible for specific mRNA codon recognition, and the 3' end, to which the tRNAs corresponding amino acid is attached (by aminoacyl-tRNA synthetases). tRNAs cope with the degeneracy of the genetic code in two manners: having more than one tRNA (with a specific anti-codon) for a particular amino acid; and 'wobble' base-pairing, i.e. permitting non-standard base-pairing at the 3rd anti-codon position. Lineage: Bacteria; Pseudomonadati; Pseudomonadota; Alphaproteobacteria. The record is from RNAcentral. RNAcentral also lists the same sequence under 4 other names.